This is a long non-coding RNA of Dicentrarchus labrax (European seabass), 824 nucleotides long. RefSeq lists it as uncharacterized. The transcript is spliced from 4 exons. NCBI's taxonomy places the organism in Eukaryota, Metazoa, Chordata, Actinopteri, Moronidae. The record is from RefSeq and is a predicted model, not a curated record.
GUACAGUGUUAAUAAAGUUGUGUCUGUACAGUGUUAAUAAAGUUGUGUGUUUGUACAGUGUUAAUAAAGUUGUGUGUUUGUACAGUGUUAAUAAAGUUGUGUGUUUGUACAGUGUUAAUAAAGUUGUGUUUGUACAGUGUUAAUAAAGUUGUGUGUUUGUACAGUGUUAAUAAAGUUGUGUUUGUACAGUGUUAAUAAAGUUGUGUUUGUACAGUGUUAAUAAAGUUGUGUUUGUACAGUGUUAAUAAAGUUUUGUGUUUGUACAGUGUUAAUAAAGUUGUGUUUGUACAGUGUUAAUAAAGUUGUGUGUUUGUACAGUGUUAAUAAAGUUGUGUUUGUACAGUGUUAAUAAAGUUGUGUGUUUGUACAGUGAUAAUAAAGUUGUGUUUGUACAGUGAUAAUAAAGUUGUGUGUUUGUACAGUGUUAAUAAAGUUGUGUCUGUACAGUGUUAAUAAAGUUGUUUGUUUGUACAGUGUUAAUAAAGUUGUGUGUUUGUACAGUGUUAAUAAAGUUGUGUGUUUGUACAGUGUUAAUAAAGUUGUGUUUGUACAGUGAUAAUAAAGUUGUGUGUUUGUACAGUGUUAAUAAAGUUGUUUGUUUGUACAGUGUUAAUAAAGUUGUGUGUUUGUACAGUGUUAAUAAAGUUGUGUGUUUGUACAGUGUUAAUAAAGUUGUGUUUGUACAGUGAUAAUAAAGUUGUGUGUUUGUACAGUGUUAAUAAAGUUGUGUUUGUACAGUGUUAAUAAAGUUGUGUGUUUGUACAGUGAUAAUAAAGUUGUGUGUUUGUACAGUGUUAAUAAAGUUGUGUGUUUGUACAGUGUUA